Molecule: ribosomal RNA, 478 nt
Filed under: uncultured bacterium
Lineage: Bacteria
Description: partial 16S ribosomal RNA
Rfam family: Bacterial small subunit ribosomal RNA
Source: RNAcentral
GAUGAACGCUGGCGGCGUGCUUAACACAUGCAAGUCGAACGGGAAACCUUUUAUUGAAGCUUCGGCAGAUUUAGCUGGUUUCUAGUGGCGGACGGGUGAGUAACGCGUGGGUAACCUGCCCUACACAGGGGGAUAACAACCAGAAAUGGUUGCUAAUACCGCAUAAGCGCACAGGGCCGCAUGGUCCGGUGUGAAAAACUCCGGUGGUAUAGGAUGGACCCGCGUUGGAUUAGCCAGUUGGCAGGGUAACGGCCUACCAAAGCGACGAUCCAUAGCCGGCCUGAGAGGGUGAACGGCCACAUUGGGACUGAGACACGGCCCAGACUCCUACGGGAGGCAGCAGUGGGGAAUAUUGCACAAUGGGGGAAACCCUGAUGCAGCGACGCCGCGUGAAGGAAGAAGUAUCUCGGUAUGUAAACUUCUAUCAGCAGGGAAGAUAGUGACGGUACCUGACUAAGAAGCCCCGGCUAACUACGUG